Molecule: ribosomal RNA, 225 nt
Filed under: uncultured bacterium
Lineage: Bacteria
Description: partial 16S ribosomal RNA
Rfam family: Bacterial small subunit ribosomal RNA
Source: RNAcentral
UACGUAGGGGCCUAGCGUUGUCCGGAAUUAUUGGGCGUAAAGAGCUCGUAGGCGGUUCGGCAAGUCGGAUGUGAAAUCCCCGGGCUUAACCUGGGAAUGGCAUUGGUGACUGCACGGCUAGAGUGUGUCAGAGGGGGGGUAGAAUUCCACGUGUAGCAGUGAAAUGCGUAGAGAUGUGGAGGAAUACCGAUGGCGAAGGCAGCCCCCCUGGGAUAACAACUGACG